AUGUAUUCCGGGACAUCGAUGGCGGCCCCACAUGUAGCAGGAAUCGUCGCGCUACUGAAAGCUUUGCACCAAGACUGGUCUCCUGCCGUCAUAAAAUCUGCCAUCAUCACCACAGCCCAUGUAACGGACGAGCGCGACAUGCCCAUACUAGCGGAAGGAGUGCUGCGGAAGAUGGCAGACCCGUUUGACUAUGGCGGCGGCAACAUCAACCCUGACGGCGCGGCUGAUCCCGGCCUGGUCUACGACAUCGAUCCCCGCGACUAUAACAGAUUCUUUGGGUGCACCAUCGUCAGGAGGACGAACGUGAGUUGUGACGCGACGGCGCUACCGGCAUACCACCUGAACCUGCCAUCUAUCGCAGUGCCUGAGCUGAGGCGCCCGAUCACUGUGUGGAGGACAGUGACGAACGUCGGUGAGGCCAACUCUGUGUACCAUGCAAAAGUCCAGAGCCCAGCUGGAGUCAGGAUCAAGGUCGAGCCGCCAAUGCUUGUGUUCGACGCCACGAACAGAGUUCAUUCAUUUAAGGUGAAGUUGUCGCCUAUGUGGAGGCUGCAAGGGGACUACACCUUUGGCAGCAUUACUUGGCGUAAGGAUCAGAAGACAGUGAGGAUUCCUGUUGCGGCCCGAAUGACCAUUCAAGAUUUCUAUGCGGAUGUUGCAUAA
Molecule: ribosomal RNA, 663 nt
Filed under: Triticum aestivum (bread wheat)
Lineage: Eukaryota; Viridiplantae; Streptophyta; Magnoliopsida; Poales; Poaceae
Description: partial small subunit ribosomal RNA
Source: RNAcentral